GUGGGCUCCCCAUUCGAC
Molecule: small nuclear RNA, 18 nt
Filed under: Arabidopsis thaliana (thale cress)
Lineage: Eukaryota; Viridiplantae; Streptophyta; Magnoliopsida; Brassicales; Brassicaceae
Description: snRNA_06200
Source: RNAcentral